GAUGAACGCUGGCGGCGUGCCUAAUACAUGCAAGUCGAGCGAACGGACGAGAAGCUUGCUUCUCUAAUGUUAGCGGCGGACGGGUGAGUAACACGUGGAUAACCUACCUAUAAGACUGGGAUAACUUCGGGAAACCGUAGCUAAUACCGGAUAAUAUUUUGAACCGCAUGGUUCAAAAGUGAAAGACGGUCUUGCUGUCACUUAUAGAUGGAUCCGCGCUGCAUUAGCUAGUUGGUAAGGUAACGGCUUACCAAGGCAACGAUGCAUAGCCGACCUGAGAGGGUGAUCGGCCACACUGGAACUGAGACACGGUCCAGACUCCUACGGGAGGCAGCAGUAGGGAAUCCUACGCAAUGGGCGAAAGCCUGACGGAGCAACGCCGCGGGAGUGAUGAAGGUGUUCGGAUCGGAAAACUCUGUUAGUAGGGAAGAACAUAUGUGUAAGUAACUGUGCACAUCUUGACGGUACCUAAUCAGAAAGCCACGGCUAACUACGUG
Molecule: ribosomal RNA, 497 nt
Filed under: uncultured bacterium
Lineage: Bacteria
Description: partial 16S ribosomal RNA
Rfam family: Bacterial small subunit ribosomal RNA
Source: RNAcentral